This 373-nucleotide ribosomal RNA is filed under the name uncultured organism. Its description in RNAcentral is "partial 16S ribosomal RNA". It matches the Rfam family "Bacterial small subunit ribosomal RNA", at positions 527 to 896 of the family's 1533-position model. The record is from RNAcentral.
GUAGGUGGCAAGCGUUGUCCGGAAUUAUUGGGCGUAAAGCGCGCGCAGGCGGUUCUUUAAGUCUGAUGUGAAAGCCCACGGGCUCAACCGUGGAGGGUCAUUGGAAACUGGGGAACUUGAGUACAGAAGAGGAAAGCGGAGUUCCACGUGUAGCGGUGAAAUGCGUAGAGAUGUGGAGGAACACCAGUGGCGAAGGCGGCUUUCUGGUCUGUAACUGACGCUGAGGCGCGAAAGCGUGGGGAGCAAACAGGAUUAGAUACCCUGGUAGUCCACGCCGUAAACGAUGAGUGCUAAGUGUUAGGGGGUUUCCGCCCCUUAGUGCUGCAGCUAACGCAUUAAGCACUCCGCCUGGGGAGUACGGCCGCAAAGGCUG